This 759-nucleotide ribosomal RNA is filed under the name uncultured bacterium. RNAcentral describes it as "bacterial SSU rRNA". It matches the Rfam family "Bacterial small subunit ribosomal RNA", at positions 1 to 808 of the family's 1533-position model. The record is from RNAcentral.
CUUAGAGUUUGAUCCUGGCUCAGGACCUACGCUGGCGGUAUGCUUAACACAUGCAAGUCGAACGGUGUCUUCGGACAUAGCGGCGGACGGGUGAGUAACGCGUGAGAAUCUAGCUUCAGGUCUGGGACAACCACUGGAAACGGUGGCUAAUACCGGAUGUGCCGGAAGGUGAAAGGCUUGCUGCCUGAAGAUGAGCUCGCGUCCGAUUAGCUAGUAGGUGGGGUAAGAGCCUACCUAGGCGACGAUCGGUAGCUGGUCUGAGAGGAUGACCAGCCACACUGGGACUGAGACACGGCCCAGGCUCCUACGGGAGGCAGCAGUGGGGAAUUUUCCGCAAUGGGCGAAAGCCUGACGGAGCAAUACCGCGUGAGGGAGGAAGGCUCUUGGGUUGUAAACCUCUUUUCUCAGGGAAGAACACAAUGACGGUACCUGAGGAAUCAGCAUCGGCUAACUCCGUGCCAGCAGCCGCGGUAAUACGGAGGAUGCAAGCGUUAUCCGGAGUGAUUGGGCGUAAAGCGUCCGCAGGUGGCUGUGUAAGUCUGCUGUCAAAGAGCAAAGCUCAACUUUGUAAAGGCAGUGGAAACUACACGGCUAGAGUGCGUUCGGGGCAGAGGGAAUUCCUGGUGUAGCGGUGAAAUGCGUAGAGAUCAGGAAGAACACCGGUGGCGAAGGCGCUCUGCUAGGCCGCAACUGACACUGAGGGACGAAAGCUAGGGGAGCGAAUGGGAUUAGAUACCCCAGUAGUCCUAGCUGUAAACG